This is a long non-coding RNA of Cyprinus carpio (common carp), 663 nucleotides long. RefSeq lists it as uncharacterized. NCBI's taxonomy places the organism in Eukaryota, Metazoa, Chordata, Actinopteri, Cypriniformes, Cyprinidae. The record is from RefSeq and is a predicted model, not a curated record. The transcript has 3 exons.
UUUUAUGUCUAGGUACGGAAGAUUGUCUGUACGGAAGCCUUACCCUGCUGAUGCUGAAGAGCAGGCCUGGUGUGCCUGAGCAGACACCAGUGAAGCAGUAUCUGAGUCUCCAGUAGAACAGGUGCUCCCAGACAAAGAUCCCAGUCAGCCACUGAGCCUCCAACUCUUCCAUCUCACCUGAGGAGAGACGCAUACGCCCAGGCCCACGUCAUCAAUCAGCUCUGUCUCCCAUUUCAUGUAUACAUCAGUGGGCCACAGUACUACCAUCCACAGACAUAUCCUCCUGUUCCAGAUCUCCCCACGCACUAACAUGUCAAAGUGCAGCUGCCAGGAGGAUAAUUCUGUCAUUUUUCAUGUUCAGUGUAUAGCACUUCUGUGAAGCACAGCAUAUAGUCUGGAGAGAGAGAAAUACUGCAGACGUCUAUGAAGGAAGAUCCCUGAACAAAAAUUAUGCUAAAUAAUUUAACAGAUGGACAUUGCUGCAUGAACACAACACAUUCUAGUUCUGGCUUUUAUACACCACAUAAAAUCUCUUUAGGGUAGACAUUUACAUUUAUUCAUUAAGCAGAUGCUUUUAAAGUGACUUACAAAUAAGGAACAGACAUAUUUUCAACAUAGAUACAGUUGCACACAUAAUUAUGAAUAUGAGUCAUUGACACAUAA